This is an RNA transcript of Mandrillus leucophaeus (drill), 936 nucleotides long. It is a transcript of the gene named cell cycle checkpoint protein RAD1 pseudogene, with no coding region annotated. Lineage: Eukaryota; Metazoa; Chordata; Mammalia; Primates; Cercopithecidae. The record is from RefSeq and is a predicted model, not a curated record. The transcript has a single exon.
GCUAUUCUUUUCUGAGAGCAUGCCACGUGUUUCACAACUAAAAAUGGUAUCAAAGUAACAGUAGAAAAAUGCAAAGUGUGUGCAAGCAAAUGCUUUUACUCAGGGACUUUAACUGCACUUCGGAUGUGUUACCAAGGUUAUGGUUACCCUUUGAGGCUGUUUCUGGAAGAAGGAGGAGUGGUAACAGUCUGCAAAAUCAAUACUCAGGAACCUGAGGAGACCUUGGAUUCUGAUUUCUGCAGCACCAAUGUUAUUAAUAAAAUUAUUCUACAGUCAGAGGGGCUCCGUGAAGCAUUUUCUGAACUGGAUAUGACGAGUGAAGUCCUACAAAUUACAAUGUCUCCUGACAAGCCUUAUUUCAGGUUAUCUACUUUUGGAAAUGCAGGAAGUUCCCACCUUGACUAUCCCAAAGAUUCUGAUUUGAUGGAAGCAUUUCAUUGUAAUCAAACCCAAGUCAACAGAUACAAGAUUUCUUUACUGAAACCCUCUACAAAGGCAUUCGUCCUAUCUUGUAAGGUAUCUAUUCGGACAGAUAACAGAGACUUCCUUUCAUUACAGUAUAUGAUUAGAAAUGAAGAUGGACAAAUACGUUUUGUGGAAUAUUACUGCUGCCCUGAUGAAGAAGUUCCUGAGUCUGAGUUUUGAGUAUGACAAUUCACUGAUAUUUAUGUGUACAUUUAUGACAGAUGAAGUUCUUAUUCUGAGUACAGUACUCUUUAUAAUUUCAUGUUGAAUUUUCUAUAAGGAGGAAGAACAAUGGGGAAAAUAGGAGCACGGUCGUGUACCUAAUAGUUACUAUGUUUUCUAAAUACAUUUUGUAGAGGGCAUGUAAAUAAAUGUUUUCAUGUAGUCAUAGAUUAUUCAGGACUGUCCUUUAGUUCUGUCUUUUGAACCCACAGUUAUGUGAGCCAAGGUAACAUUUCAAGAGUCUAAAGG